Mauremys mutica (yellowpond turtle) is the source of this 483-nucleotide long non-coding RNA. RefSeq lists it as uncharacterized. The transcript has 4 exons. The record is from RefSeq and is a predicted model, not a curated record. Lineage: Eukaryota; Metazoa; Chordata; Testudines; Geoemydidae.
CUGAGGUCCAUACAACUAGACGCAUAGGAGUGGUCUGACUUCAACGAUAUUACUUAUGUGGAAUCCCUAGUUCCUGGAGGCUGUCCAUACCACACAGGAGGAGUAAGCGGAGUUGACAGGGGAGCUGCAGCGGUCGACUUGCUGCUGUGAGGAUGGCCAGGUCCAGCUGAAACUCAAGAAAGAAUGUGCAUAGAUUCUGAAGAUGAAUCAAGGCUGACAUCCAUGGAGAAUAACAAUUUCCAGUCUAAAGAUGAGGAAAGAGAGAGAUUGCUUCAAGAAAAAGUCCAACAAGUGACAGUGACAAAUUGGUUGGAAGAUUUGAAAGAGUAAGCAUGACUUCCUCUGAUGAUUCAUUGAAAAAUCACCUAGCACAUCACAGCUGAAGAGAAGACUACAAUGUAUAGUUCCUAAACUUCUUCCAGUAUUUUUACCACUAUUAUUGCUGAACUGAAACAUCAUCUGAUAAUUUUGUAGAAUGCUAAG